AUUGAACGCUGGCGGCAUGCUCUACACAUGCAAGUCGAACGGUAACAGGUUAAGCUGACGAGUGGCGAACGGGUGAGUAAUGCAUCGGAACGUGCCCGAUCGUGGGGGAUAACGCAGCGAAAGCUGCGCUAAUACCGCAUACGAUCUGAGGAUGGAAGCGGGGGACCGUAAGGCCUCGCGCGAUCGGAGCGGCCGAUGUCAGAUUAGGUAGUUGGUGGGGUAAAGGCCCACCAAGCCGACGAUUUGUAGCUGGUCUGAGAGGACGACCAGCCACACUGGGACUGAGACACGGCCCAGACUCCUACGGGAGGCAGCAGUGGGGAAUUUUGGACAAUGGGCGAAAGCCUGAUCCAGCAAUGCCGCGUGCAGGAAGAAGGCCUUCGGGUUGUAAACUGCUUUUGUACGGAGCGAAAAGGUCCUUUCUAAUACAAGGGGCUCAUGACGGUACCGUAAGAAUAAGCACCGGCUAACUACGUGCCAGCCGCCGCCGUAA
This 493-nucleotide ribosomal RNA is filed under the name uncultured bacterium. Its description in RNAcentral is "partial 16S ribosomal RNA". It matches the Rfam family "Bacterial small subunit ribosomal RNA", at positions 30 to 523 of the family's 1533-position model. The record is from RNAcentral.